Rattus norvegicus (Norway rat) is the source of this 103-nucleotide small nuclear RNA. The record is from Ensembl. Lineage: Eukaryota; Metazoa; Chordata; Mammalia; Rodentia; Muridae.
GUGCUUGCUUCAGCAGCACAGAUACUGGCAUUGGGAGCGUACAGAGAUUAGCAUAGUCCUGCUCAAGGAAGACAUGCAAAUUUGUAAAGCGUUCCGUUUUUUU